RNAcentral lists this microRNA precursor (103 nucleotides) under Marmota monax (woodchuck). The record is from RNAcentral. Lineage: Eukaryota; Metazoa; Chordata; Mammalia; Rodentia; Sciuridae.
AGUGGGAUAGCUGGGUAAGAUGGUGGUUAGAUUCCACAUUUUCUAAGGAAGCACCAUACUGCUUUCCAGAUUGGUUGCACCAAUUUGCAGUCCCACCAGCAGU